AUGGGGACGCGCUGCGCCAGCCCGCUGUACGAGCGUCUAGAGCAGCCGCUGCCUCUGGGGACGAGCUGCGCGAAUGGGCUCGCCGUGCGCUUCGACGGCAGCGAAGGCGGGGAGACGGGCCUGCUGGUGCUGCCAGCUUGGGCCGCCUGCUUGCGCUCCUUGUGGAGGCUGCACCGGAAGGAGCCCGGGUGGUUCGUGGGGGAGCACAUGCAGGACCGACGGAUCUUGGGGGCGGCGGUGGGGGAGGAGGGGGGAGAGGAGACGCUGACGGACUUGACCGGCGACGGCGAGCCACCGGCGGGGAGCUUGACACGGGAGAGCGAGGCGGAUUGGUAG
Molecule: ribosomal RNA, 336 nt
Filed under: Triticum aestivum (bread wheat)
Lineage: Eukaryota; Viridiplantae; Streptophyta; Magnoliopsida; Poales; Poaceae
Description: partial small subunit ribosomal RNA
Source: RNAcentral